RNAcentral lists this ribosomal RNA (1518 nucleotides) under Triticum aestivum (bread wheat). Its description in RNAcentral is "partial small subunit ribosomal RNA". Lineage: Eukaryota; Viridiplantae; Streptophyta; Magnoliopsida; Poales; Poaceae. The record is from RNAcentral.
AUGCCCAGCCACAAAUUCGCCUGUCUCGAGGGUGUUCUUCACGCCCGAAUCAGCGAUGUUCGCCAUGCGGUCACCAUCGAGUCGAUUCGCCAGUUGUUUCGUCGCUCCGGUGAUGGAUAUGUGGUCUGCGCGUACGAGCGGGUGGUGGACGGGUUGUACGGCGUGGAGGCCUACAUCGAGUUCCGGUCCCGAUGGAGGGCGGCCCGAGCUCGAGAUGCCCUGGAUGGCCAUGCUAUCUAUGAUGGCUGUUGCAUCCCAGCCAUCGACCUCGUCCCGCCGGUCUACACCACCAUCACCAUGCCUGAUGACGACGGGAUGACACCCUCGUACUUCUACGAUGACACUCCCUACGUGGAGUGGGAUGCAGCGUUGGUCGCGGUCGAGCGCCAUGAUGAGGCGCCCGCUACAUCCACCGACAACCUUCAAGUCGAGGCGUCCAUGAGCACCGUCGGCACGACUCCGUCCGGGCUCGCCGCGCCUACGGCACCAACUCUGUCUACGACCGCUGACAACGCCGUCGUGGAGCUCAAUGAGAGUGACCAGGGGCUCAAAGUGGACGACACCAGCAACGCCGCUUCGACGCCCACCACCUGUUCGACGGGGUGUCCAAGCUGCGCCACGGCCGAGGAGUCGGUGCUCACCUUGUCUGCGGAAACACCAUCAUCCAUGACCACCAUCUGCGUCGUUCCUGAGCUCGCUACACCAGUGGACAAUGAUGACUCCAUUGAUGUUGUCAACACUUAUGUCGCUGCCCUGGCUGUGUUCCCUAUCAAUGGCAGCGUCAGCAUCACCAACAAGCAAGCAGAAGAAACGGAGGGCUGGAGCAGUGAGCACUGGGCACUGGAGUCUGAAUUGGACGUGAGUCAAAUACCAGUUUCAGAGAUUAGAACGAGUGGAGCACUAAACAUCAGAAUGGAUAUUGCGUGCCAGAAAUAUUUUCUUGAUGGGAGGAUUGCUAUCUUGUCCAUGAUCAAAUAUAUGUGGGUGGAGGGUGACAACUGUACAUGUCUGUUUAGUCCAGAGCAGUUCUAUACCAGCCUUCAUGGAGUUAUGUCGUUCGUAUGGGACUUGGGUGACUCCACCGUGGUUACAGCCUGUGAUUUUGCUCCUUAUAGGCCUGCCAGACGUAUUCGGGCCAAACUUGUUAUGCUGGAAGUGGUGCAGUUGACUUGGGAUCCAGGCGACUCUGAAAUUGUGCUUGACUCUACCUUGAUCUCGAAGAAUCUUGCUGUCAUGCCUGCUACUGGUCAUGGUGCCAAAGAUGAUACUGUGAAGGGCGGCAUGCCAGUGAUAUGGGAUCCUGGAGGGCUCCCACAUUGUCGUCUUGAGGACAAGCCGAAAUUUAAGGGGGAGGGAUUGUCAGCGACUCUUCCUAAUCUAUGGACGACGGGCCGUCACUCUUGGGCCGGGCCUGCUUGGAAGGACAUGGGACAACAAGUACAAAUAUGUGGACAAGGCAUCGUGGAGAGGGGCUUGGACGGAAGGCUUCGGCCUGGCUGGCGAUCUCCCUCUUUGUAG